RNAcentral lists this ribosomal RNA (722 nucleotides) under Fusarium oxysporum. RNAcentral's name for it is "SSU rRNA". It matches the Rfam family "Bacterial small subunit ribosomal RNA", at positions 358 to 965 of the family's 1533-position model. Lineage: Eukaryota; Fungi; Ascomycota; Sordariomycetes; Hypocreales; Nectriaceae. The record is from RNAcentral.
GGAAUAUUGGUCAAUGGCCUAACGGCUGAACUGGCAACUUGGAGAAGUGGCAAGUCUUCCAGUAUGGGGAGCAAAACAGCUAUGGGUCAAGUCCGAUAUCUUUAGGAGAAGUCUUAUUGUGAGGGCGAGUUAUAUAACACCAUAGGACUGGCCGUCCCAUAUGAAAAGAUUAUAUUAAAAUUGAAUGAAGCUUUGUUUAUAUAUUGAUAAUGACAGUAUAUAUAUCGUGUCUUGACUAAUUGCGUGCCAGCAGUCGCGGUAAUACGUAAGAGACUAGUGUUAUUCAUCUUAAUUAGGUUUAAAGGGUACCCAGACGGUCAAUAUAGCUUAUAAAAUGUUAGUACUUGACUAGAGUUUUAUGUAAGAGGGCAGUACUUGAGGAGGAGAGAUGAAAUUUCGUGAUACCAAAGGGACUCUGUAAAGGCGAAGGCAGCCCUCUAUGUAAAAACUGACGUUGAAGGACGAAGGCACAGAGAACAAACAGGAUUAGAUACCCAAGUAGUCUUUGCAGUAAAUGAUGAAUGCCAUAGCUUAGAUUGAUCAAUUAUAGUUUAGGGUUAGUCUAGCAAACUAAUGCCCUAUGAUAUAAUUCAAAAUAUCUGGUCUAUAAAUGAAAGUGUAAGCAUUUCACCUCAAGAGUAAUGUGGCAACGCAGGAACUGAAAUCACUAGACCGUUUCUGACACCAGUAGUGAAGUAUGUUAUUUAAUUCAUUGAUCUGCA